UUUUUACGGAGAGUUUGAUCCUGGCUCAGGACGAACGCUGGCGGCGUGC
Molecule: ribosomal RNA, 49 nt
Filed under: Marinococcus luteus
Lineage: Bacteria; Bacillati; Bacillota; Bacilli; Caryophanales; Bacillaceae
Description: partial 16S rRNA. Bacterial SSU
Source: RNAcentral